RNAcentral lists this ribosomal RNA (484 nucleotides) under uncultured bacterium. RNAcentral's name for it is "partial 16S ribosomal RNA". It matches the Rfam family "Bacterial small subunit ribosomal RNA", at positions 30 to 507 of the family's 1533-position model. The record is from RNAcentral.
AUUGAACGCUGGCGGCAGGCCUAACACAUGCAAGUCGAGCGGAUGAAGGGAGCUUGCUCCUGGAUUCAGCUGCGGACGGGUGAGUAAUGCCUAGGAAUCUGCCUGGUAGUUGGUGAUAACGUCCGGAAACGGGCGCUAAUACCGCAUACGUCCUUAGGGAGAAAGUGUGGGAUCUUCGGACCUCACGCUAUCAGAUGAGCCUAGGUCGGAUUAGCUAGUUGGUGGGGUAAAGGCCUACCAAGGCGACGAUCCGUAACUGGUCUGAGAGGAUGAUCAGUCACACUGGAACUGAGACACGGUCCAGACUCCUACGGGAGGCAGCAGUGGGGAAUAUUGGACAAUGGGCGAAAGCCUGAUCCAGCCAUACCGCGUGUGUGAAGAAGGUCUUCGGAUUGUAAAGCACUUUAAGUUGGGAGGAAGGGCAGUAAGUUAAUACCUUGCUGUUUUGACGUUACCAACAGAAUAAGCACCGGCUAACUUCGUG